This 1090-nucleotide long non-coding RNA is filed under the name Homo sapiens (human). RNAcentral describes it as "HSALNT0324824". The record is from RNAcentral. Lineage: Eukaryota; Metazoa; Chordata; Mammalia; Primates; Hominidae.
GCCAUGAGGGCGGGAACCCUCGUACGCGGAAGUUCAUGAGGGCGGGACCCUCGUACGCGGAAGGUCAUGAGGGCGGGACCCUCGUACGCGGAAGUUCAUGCGGGCGGGACCCUCGUACGUGGAAGGUCAUGAGGGCGGGACCCUCGUACGUGGAAGGUCAUGAGGGCGGAACCCUGGUACAUGAAAUUCGUUCUCUUAUUUAAGAGACAAAGAACGCCCUUGUUUUUUCCACCACGUGAUGGCGCAGACAGAAGACAACCAGCAUCUAUGAACCAGGAAGCCCCCACCAGGCACUGAAUCUGCCCCUGCGUGGAUCUUAGACUUGCAGACUCCAGAACUAACCUUACAAUGUCUCUUCUCCAUUAAGAAAACCUACUUCAACAUCUCCAUUGGUUCUCAACAUAGAGGUCCAAAUUUUGGUCUGGAGCCAGAGACAAUAUAGGAUGAAGUUUGAUUUGUUCCAAAACCCACAGAAAUCUCUAAAAUGGAAGAAUUUUCUUAGAACCAAAAGGCAUGGAAUUGAUGACAUGAAACUGGUACACACCCAUCCCUUCCCAAAAGAGCCCUCAAAGGCGGCCACCCCUGCUGGAGAGUCCCUGGCCAUGUGGGGCACCAAACCUUUGCAGUAGUCGUGCUGUCUCUCCAAUUAUCCUUCCCUCAUCCUUUGAUUAACUAACUGCUCUCCGAACAAAGACUGUGCUUCCAGGAGCUCCUGUUUUCAUACACAGUCCUCCGGGACAAGCCAGCAGCACUCAAAGUGGGCCUGGAGCCAGGAUCUGGACUGGAGAAGUGAUGGACUCUGGAUAAGGGGCAGCCCGCCCUGUGUCCCAGUUUUCUUCCAGUGAAGUGAGAAGGCUUUAAUAAGCUAGCUGAGGAGCAAGGAGCAAGUGAGAACCACCUGGAAAGCAUUUAGAGCAAUUCCUGGCAGAUGGAAAGUACUUAAUUAUAUAAUGUUUUCCUUUUACUCCCACAGCGCCAUAGGCAUCCUUCUGUCUGAAAUGCCCCCAUGCUGCCUCUCAAUCUUCUCUCUGCCUGCCUGCCUUGCCCACUCUUUACAUCUUUGUCUAUAUAAAAUGCAGCUGGCAAUAGA